This 156-nucleotide ribosomal RNA is filed under the name Hydnum rufescens. RNAcentral describes it as "5.8S ribosomal RNA". It matches the Rfam family "5.8S ribosomal RNA". Rfam says of the family: 5.8S ribosomal RNA (5.8S rRNA) is a component of the large subunit of the eukaryotic ribosome. It is transcribed by RNA polymerase I as part of the 45S precursor that also contains 18S and 28S rRNA. The record is from RNAcentral. Lineage: Eukaryota; Fungi; Basidiomycota; Agaricomycetes; Cantharellales; Hydnaceae.
CUUUUAACAACGGAUCUCUUGGCUCUCGCAUCGAUGAAGAACGCAGCGAAAUGCGAUAAGUAAUGUGAAUUGCAGAAUUCAGUGAAUCAUCGAAUCUUUGAACGCACCUUGCACUCUCUGGUAUUCCGGGGAGUACAUCUGUUCGAGUGUCAUUAA